This 1859-nucleotide long non-coding RNA is filed under the name Diabrotica virgifera virgifera (western corn rootworm). Its description in RNAcentral is "uncharacterized LOC126890363". The record is from RNAcentral. Lineage: Eukaryota; Metazoa; Arthropoda; Insecta; Coleoptera; Chrysomelidae.
AGGCAAUCCAAACCACGUGACCUCUGGUUGGCACACAAACUAACAAAGAGGUUAUGUUUGCAUCUAUUUUUCAAUGAUUUUUCAUUGUUUAUCGUCGUAUUUUGGAUUCAUUUGGAUUUCGUUUCCUGUUUUUGUGAACUUUAUAAACUUUACCACAAUGCAAACUGAUUAUUUAAGGAAAUUAUUAUUGGAAACUCCAGAUGUUGCGAGAAAGGUAGGCGAAACAAUUUUUUUUACUGUUCAUUUUGCCCCGAUAUUUAUCAAUAAUGAUGAAUUUUGCAAGCAAUAACAUUAUUUCUUUUAUUGUUCUAGAUAUUUAUUGAAGCUGAAAAUAAUUGGGGAUUUAGAUCCAUACGCAAUUCAGUCAGAAUUGGAUUUUACAGUAAAGUGCAGUCCAUCAAGUUACUAGAGUAGAGUAGAGUAGAGUAUUUAUUGGUAAUAAUGUACAAAUGUACUUUUACAGGUCAGCAAUAAUUAAAAUUGUCUAAAAUUACAUUAAAAGUUGACAGUACUUCAGUAAAAAAAACCUAUUACUAAAAUUUAAAAACUAAACACUAAUUAAAUUACAGGACAAAACAAAAUUUAGAUCUGAAGUACUCCUCAAAUGAGUAGAAAGCACCCAUCAGAAGAUAAUUUUUAAUUUGUCUCUUAAAUUGGUUAAAAUCAAGACUUUUAAUAGAUAUUGGUAUACAGUUAUAAAAUUUCAAUGCUAGGUAUCUGGUUCCAUUUCUGGUCCUCUCAAGUCGACUGAAGUCUGGUACAAGGGCAUCAUGAUUUCUAGUCUGAUAAGUAUGCUGUUGUGUUUUAUAUAGAUCUACAUUUUGAUGAACAUACAACAGGCACUGCAUAAUGUACACAGACGGUAGUGUGAGAAUCCUCAGGUUUCUGAAAGACUGCCUACAAUCGUCCCGAUAACCCUGACCUGUGAUUAUGCGAAUACACUUUCUCUGCUGACCAAACACCUUAUCUAUAUGGCAAGAGUGUCCCCAGGAAAGGAUUGCGUAAGUUAGUCGUGAGUGAAAGUUGCUGUGAUAUGAUGUAAGAAGGGUUUGAAGGGAGGUAACCUUAGAUAGGUUUCUAAAUAAAAAGAGUUGGAUUGAGAGCUUUUGGGAAAGUUUCAGUAUGUGCCGUUCCCAAGUGAGUUCCUGAUCAAGAUUCUACUAUUAUAGAUAUUUAUACAUAUCUGGUGGAAUCUGAUAUGUCACAGUUGCUACUCUAAGCAGCAGAUGAAAGCAUACAAAAGCCUUCAGGCACAUAAAUAUUUUACAGCUGGAUUUGUUUUGAAUGGAGUAAAAAUUGUUAAUGAUUUCCUGAUUUCCAUAUUAUUGUCGGAAAGGUGAAGCAUUUCCAAAAAUCUAAUGCUAAACGACUAAAUGCUUGGGUGGGGUGAUAGCCAGUUCUGAUGACAUAGCAAAUUUACAUUGUAUGCGUAUGGCCGGUAAUAGUGAAGUCUGCAGCCAUAUUGCAGCAAUCCUAUUUUUAGCUUAGUAUGCUCAGGGCAAGACACACGAAGAAGAACCCAAUGUAUGUACAUAUGUUACAGCUACAUGGUUUGGAGAUAGCAACAUAUGCAUUCUCUGAUGAAAAACUAAUGAGUUUUGAAACUGUUCAGUCAGAGUGCUUGUUGCGCUCACUAAACGAAUUGAAAUAUAAGAUGGCUUUGGCAUUGUGUUGCAGCGAUAUGAAAAUGGUUAUUCAUUUUUAAUUAUAAUGUUCUUCUUCAUCAUGAGUAAUUAUGUAUUGGUCUUUUAAAUGUGUAUUUAUUUUUGUAAUUAGUAUCAACUUGUAAUGAUAAUAUACAUUUAUCGUUUAAGGUAUGACUAUGUUUUGACUCUAAAAUAAAUGUUUUAAAAAUCGAA